ACUUUCAACAACGGAUCUCUUGGUUCUCGCAUCGAUGAAGAACGCAGCGAAUUGCGAUAAGUAAUGUGAAUUGCAGAAUUCAGUGAAUCAUSGAAUCUUUGAACGCACAUUGCGCCCUCUGGCAUUCCGGAGGGCAUGCCUGUUUGAGCGUCUCAUGCAUCAAAAGUCACACACAUUGUUGUGGUCAUGGCAUACGUGGGGCCCGCCUUGUGCAACCCCCACUGAGCUGAAAGUCAUAGGCGGACGUCACCUGAGGUCAGCACGUAGUAUGUAAAGCAAGUCGUACUGAUCGCAGAGGUGCCUCUGCCCAGGCCGC
This 316-nucleotide ribosomal RNA is filed under the name Balsamia latispora. Its description in RNAcentral is "partial 5.8S ribosomal RNA". The stretch from base 1 to 153 matches the Rfam family "5.8S ribosomal RNA". Lineage: Eukaryota; Fungi; Ascomycota; Pezizomycetes; Pezizales; Helvellaceae. The record is from RNAcentral.